RNAcentral lists this small nuclear RNA (156 nucleotides) under Meriones unguiculatus (Mongolian gerbil). Its description in RNAcentral is "U1 spliceosomal RNA (ENSMUGG00000009607.1)". It matches the Rfam family "U1 spliceosomal RNA". Rfam says of the family: U1 is a small nuclear RNA (snRNA) component of the spliceosome (involved in pre-mRNA splicing). Its 5' end forms complementary base pairs with the 5' splice junction, thus defining the 5' donor site of an intron. Lineage: Eukaryota; Metazoa; Chordata; Mammalia; Rodentia; Muridae. The record is from RNAcentral.
AUGCCUACCUGGCAAGGGAGACACUCAUCAAGAAGUGGUUUUCCCAGGUCAAGGCUCACCCAUUGCUCUUAGUGUGUAUUACGUCUUCUCUUUUCCCCCAGAGGCAAAUUUGUUUAUGUAACUGUGAUAGUGGGAAACUGCAUUCACUCUCUCCCC